RNAcentral lists this ribosomal RNA (557 nucleotides) under Nectophrynoides cf. viviparus HCL-2014. RNAcentral describes it as "partial 16S ribosomal RNA". It matches the Rfam family "Bacterial large subunit ribosomal RNA", at positions 1831 to 2600 of the family's 2925-position model. Lineage: Eukaryota; Metazoa; Chordata; Amphibia; Anura; Bufonidae. The record is from RNAcentral.
CGCCUCUUGAACAUAUAAGAGGUCCAGCCUGCCCAGUGACCCUGUUUAACGGCCGCGGUAUCCUAACCGUGCGAAGGUAGCGUAAUCACUUGUUCUCUAAAUGUGGACUAGUAUGAACGGCAUCACGAGGGUUAUACUGUCUCCUUUUUCUAAUCAGUGAAACUAACUUCCCCGUGAAGAGGCGGGGAUAAAACUAUAAGACGAGAAGACCCUAUGGAGCUUUAAACAACAUAGCACUUGCCGCAUAAUAAAGAUCUCCGGAUCUCUUACUCCAAGGCAAUAUGACUAUUAGUUUUUGGUUGGGGUGACCGCGGAGCAAAAUUUAACCUCCACGUUGAAAACUUUAAGCUGAGAAUCACCUUUCUAGGCAUCAAUAUAUUGACACUAAUUGAUCCAAUACAUUUGAACAACGAACCAAGUUACCCUAGGGAUAACAGCGCAAUCCACUUCAAGAGCCCCUAUCGACAAGUGGGUUUACGACCUCGAUGUUGGAUCAGGGUCUCCCAGUGGCGCAGCCGCUACUAAAGGUUCGUUUGUUCAACGAUUGAAACCCUACG